GACGAACGCUGGCGGCGUGCUUAACACAUGCAAGUCGAACGAAGAGCGAUGGAAGCUUGCUUCUAUCACUCUUAGUGGCGAACGGGUGAGUAACGCGUAAUCAACCUGCCCUUCAGAGGGGGACAACAGUUGGAAACGACUGCUAAUACCGCAUACGAUCUAAUCUCGGCAUCGAGGAUAGAUGAAAGGUGGCCUCUACAUGUAAGCUAUCACUGAAGGAGGGGAUUGCGUCUGAUUAGCUAGUUGGAGGGGUAACGGCCCACCAAGGCGAUGAUCAGUAGCCGGUCUGAGAGGAUGAACGGCCACAUUGGGACUGAGACACGGCCCAGACUCCUACGGGAGGCAGCAGUGGGGAAUCUUCCGCAAUGGACGAAAGUCUGACGGAGCAACGCCGCGUGAGGGAUGACGGCCUUCGGGUUGUAAAGCUCUGUUAAUCGGGACGAAAGGCCUUCUUGCGAACAGUUAGAAGGAUUGACGGUACCGGAAUAGAAAGCCACGGCUAACUACGUG
RNAcentral lists this ribosomal RNA (510 nucleotides) under uncultured bacterium. RNAcentral's name for it is "partial 16S ribosomal RNA". It matches the Rfam family "Bacterial small subunit ribosomal RNA", at positions 28 to 507 of the family's 1533-position model. The record is from RNAcentral.